UGGGGAAUAUUGCACAAUGGGCGCAAGCCUGAUGCAGCCAUGCCGCGUGUAUGAAGAAGGCCUUCGGGUUGUAAAGUACUUUCAGCGGGGAGGAAGGGAGUAAAGUUAAUACCUUUGCUCAUUGACGUUACCCGCAGAAGAAGCACCGGCUAACUCCGUGCCAGCAGCCGCGGUAAUACGGAGGGUGCAAGCGUUAAUCGGAAUUACUGGGCGUAAAGCGCACGCAGGCGGUUUGUUAAGUCAGAUGUGAAAUCCUCGGGCUCAACCUGGGAACUGCAUCUGAUACUGGCAAGCUUGAGUCUCGUAGAGGGGGGUUGAAUUCCAGGUGUAGCGGUGAAAUGCGUAGAGAUCUGGAGGAAUACCGGUGGCGAAGGCGGCCCCCUGGACGAAGACUGACGCUCAGGUGCGAAAGCGUGGGGAGCAAACAGG
Molecule: ribosomal RNA, 429 nt
Filed under: Chloroflexota bacterium
Lineage: Bacteria; Bacillati; Chloroflexota
Description: Chloroflexi bacterium partial 16S ribosomal RNA
Rfam family: Bacterial small subunit ribosomal RNA
Source: RNAcentral